GUAAUUGAUUCUGCCAGCACUGAUAUGUUUAUCUCUAAGAUUAAACUAUGCUGCCAUGAAUUAAGCCAGUACAUGAUAUAUUAAGCCGAAACUGUAAAUGGCUCAUUAAAUCAGUUAUGGUUCCUUGAAUCACACCUUAUUACUUGGAUAACUGUGGCAACCAUCUAGGAAUGAGCACUUUUAUUAGACCAAAAUCAAUCGGAUCUUAUAUCCAUAUUAUGUGGUGACGUUGUAUAACUUUGUGCUGAUUGCACAAGCUCAUAGCAGCCACAUGUCUUUCAAGUGUCUGCCUCAUCAACUGCAAUAGUAGAUUAUGCGCCUACCAUGGUCGUAACAGGUCAUGGAGAAUUAAGGUUCGAUUCCAAUGAGGGAGCCAGAGAAACAGCUACCACAUCCAAGGAAGGCAACAGGUGCACAAAUUACCCACUCUAAGAAUGUGGAGGUAGUGCCAAAAAAUAACAAUAGAGGACUCUUUUGAGACCCAGUAUUUGGAAUGAAUACACUUUAAAUCGUUUAACGAGGAUCGACUGGAAGGCAAUUCUGGAAGCCAUGUAGC
Molecule: non-coding RNA, 556 nt
Filed under: Stegodyphus mimosarum
Lineage: Eukaryota; Metazoa; Arthropoda; Arachnida; Araneae; Eresidae
Description: Eukaryotic small subunit ribosomal RNA
Rfam family: Eukaryotic small subunit ribosomal RNA
Source: Rfam by way of RNAcentral